Non-coding RNA from Meleagris gallopavo (turkey), 3844 nucleotides. The record is from RefSeq and is a predicted model, not a curated record. Lineage: Eukaryota; Metazoa; Chordata; Aves; Galliformes; Phasianidae.
CGGGCUGCACCUCUCUUAGACCUCACUUAAGGGCUGACUGCCACUGGGGAAGGAUCUGUGGUUGGAGAUCCCUUUUUUGUGGAGUCUUUCCUGUAAGCCUGGAUGUUCGGAGAUGGGAAGGAUAUCUCACCAUACCUAUCGCUGCCCCCCCAAGCCCUCAAAAUGCAUCCAGAGAGGGGUGUGAGAGAUGAGACACAAAGCUCCUGUAAACGUCUGAGUAACCAUUCCGAAACAAAAAGUGUUGGUUAAUAGCUGCCUGGAUUCUGGUGUGCUGCUUCUUCCUGCUCACUCAGCACGUGCUGCAGGAACCCUGCUGCCCUGGUCAGCCCAUGCCUGCUGCUGGCAGAAGCGGCUGCUCUGGAGCUGGUGGAAACGUGCCAGCUCACCAGCUGGAGCCCUGACCUGCACUUGGCUUCAGCAAAGCAACAUCAAGGUCAGGCUCUGUGGUGUGCAGGGAUGGGCACAGCUGUCCUGGUGGCACGAUGGCUCCACCAGCAGGGAUCAAGAACCUGUCCAUGUCAGCACAGCUGCACUAAUUGCUGGUAGCAGGAGGGUUGGCAUUGCAGAGCUGCCCGCACAUCCGGGGGCUGAGGUCUACUUUGGAUUGAAAAGUGCACUUUGGAUCAAUUUGUUCCUUGUAUGAUUGGGAGAUAUCUGAGAAUUCCUACUAAGUCAGGAUGCUUCUACUGUGGUAAUAUUUAGUACCAGCUCUGGCAUAUUUCUUUUGGCUCCCUGAUUAGACCAAGUGCCAAGCUGUCCUUUGCGGCCUUAAUUAUCGCAGCUUCAGGCCAGAGCUGCCUGCUUACUGCUUAAUCCCAUGGCCUAGAGUGAACCCUGGAAAUGCUUAAUUAAAUGACAUUCCACAACAGAUUAAAGAGUCAGAAGCCCAAGAUAAAGGAAAAGGGAGAUGGUGGCUGUGGGAGUAGCAGGUGCUCUUCCCUUUCAGGCUUCUGGCUUUGAUUAUUUCACCUUGAUUACAUUGGAAACAGCAGCACGAGUUGAUAGGUGCUGCACUUCUACACUUGGCUGCUCAUGUGUUCUGUGCAAAGUGGCUCUGAAGCAGAGGGCGGUCACCAGCUUGGGCACAGACAAGCCCCUGCCUUUUUGUCUUUGAUAUUAAAAAGAAAACCAAAGGCUCCCUGUGUAACUAACUAGCAUGGACUUACUUGGAGCAGGGAUGAUCAAACUGUGCCUUGGGUUCCCCUGGGAGCCAAAGCCUUCAUCUAGCCACAGCAGAUCAGCAUACAAAUACAAAUGUUGUAGGUACUGUUACACUAUGCUGAUUAGGGCUCAAGUCUUCAGCAAAUCUCUUUGUAGCAAGAAAAUGACUGCAAGUGGGGAAUGUGCAGUACUGAGUGCAUCUCCUUCAGGAGCUGAUCUGUAAAGGCUGUUCCUGCUAAUGUUGUGUUUUUAUCAUAUUACUCUUCAAUUAUUUGUUCCAGCAGUUCUCUUGUCUUGGCUGAAUGAGUGGCUGUGCAGAAGCUGACCUGGAGUGAUUUCCUCUUUGCAAAGAGAAGUGGAUCACGGGGGGGAUGUUGUGAUGCUUCUGGGCGUUGAUUUGUGUGCUUUGUGUUCUCCUUCAGUCCUGUAAUGCAAUUUCAGCAAUUAAACUACAGCAGGGGAAUGACUCAAAUGUUCACGCUCACACCAGGUAGACAUUGGGAAAUAAAAGAUGGAGGGUGAGGAUGCUCCUGACUUAAUCCCUAGUGUGCAUUUUGUCUGCACCACAAAGGGUACCACAUGGUUUGACACAACUGGAAGAUUUGGGUGAGUGGAGGCAAGGCUUUUUUUUUUUCCCACUUGCUAGCAGAAGUAAGGCGGAUUAUUUCUAAACGUCAGCUAAGCUGCGCGAGGGAGUGUAGCGCAUCAUUUCCUUCUCUCCACAACAAAGAAGACUGUUCUGCUGUAUGGGGCUAUUCAGGUGGUGGUUUAGAGCUGUUAGUGCUAGGGCUGGGCAGCUGCCCAUGCUCUGCAGGCACUGUGCUCCAGCUGCUGCCCCACAGCUGUGCCCUAAGCCUCAGUUUGGCUGGGCUUCAUCUGCAGGUUGAGAUGCUUCUGCCAAGAGCAGUCAUCUGCCUGAAUGCCCCACAGCUUUACUGAGCACAGUGCACUUAUCAACACUAACGUUUAUCAGCUUCUAUCACUGCUUUUCUUUUUACAAAUGCAAAGCAGAGGACUUUAAAAGAAGCAAGUGGUAUCUUACAGCAAAAGCUUCUUUUUAGAUAUUCCAUAUCUAAAAAAGGAGGAAUAGCCUGUGGCAAUACAUAGAAUCAUAGACUGGUUUGAGUUGGAAGGGACCUUUAAUGUCACCUAGUUCCAACUCCUGCUAUGUGGCAUUUUUAUUUACCUACUGGUGUUUUGUACUCAGAGCCAACAAGUCUGCACUGGUUCCUAUUCAGAGCCUUAGAAGUGAUAAAAGGCAUCAGUGCAGAUUCUUUUGCUUUUGUGUGUGUAUGUGUGUUUUCUAUUGUUCCUGCAAAUAAAUGGAAUAUGCAUCUUGUUCCAGCACCAAGCCUGGUUCUGUGAUGCUAUGGUGUCCUCUGCUUCCCAUGCCACCUCUGAGCUGCCUGGCAGCACACGGCCCCUCUCACCCUCAGGUUGGGCACAGAACACAAGCCAAACCCUGGGGGUCUUGCCCUGGUUAACCUGCAUGAAGUUUGUGUGUGUACAAACUGGGACUGCCCUCAGUCACAAGCAAAGCCCUGUCCUGUGCACAGCACCAUUGCAGACCUCAUCCAAAGGCCUCCUUUGUAUCUGGAGCAACUUAAAAGCCUUUGGAUGGAGUCUUUGUCCUUGAAAAUACUUCUUUGAUGUUUCGGGCCUUCACAUGUCCUCCAGACUUUCAUUUAAUGCAGUAUUUUGUUUCGGUGGGUUUUUGUGAGAUUUCAGGUACGAUUUCAAUAAAGGCAGGGAUGUAUCGAAGCAUAAGGUAUUUGCUCAAGUCUUAAUCAAUCCAAACUGCUCUCUGAAGAAGGAAGCACAGAGGCUGCUGGAGCAGGCCAGGCUCUUACAGGGCAGCAGAUGUUUCUCUUUAUUGUCAGAACAGCCAUCUUUAUUAAAUACCAAAGAAAGCCUUAUAAAUCCGGGAAGGCGGUGCAGUCCACGUGGAGGACACCUCUUCCCCAGGCCAAGCAGCCUUUCUGGAAGUCCAUGGUUCUUCCUGCUGAUCCCUCAAUGGCAUUGCCAUGACGUGAAAGCAGAUGGCAAAAUGGAAUGUUUAACAAUGAAAACCAUGUUUAACUAAUGUUUAACCUGGCAACAGGAGAGGCAAAGAAGGGAGCAGAGCCAGGAGAGCAGAGCUCCUUCGGGGUGAGCUGGAAAGUGGCAGGGGUGAUGGGUCCGGUGCUUUCCAGUACUGGCAUCUUCUGCUUUGAAGAAACAACAAGAAUUCAUGGAUUAAUAAAGGGAAAUUGUGACUGACUAAGCAGAAGGUGUGCCAGUCUGAGUUCUGGUCUGUCUGAACCAGGUAACGUCCGUAGAUACGGCAUUAAUUUAAUUCUCAGUUGAAAUACUCCAGAGAAAAUGUCAGAUCGAUAAUGUAGGAAAGGGCAAAGAUUUGCUAAGCCUGGCUGACUUGUGUAUGUUAACUACUGUGAGAUAGAUAUGGAUAAAUGCUGAACAUUAAGGUGAGUAAUCACAACUGUCGUGGGUGUCUGAAAAAAUUUUCUGCAUAAAGACUGUACAAAACAAAGGUGUUUCGGGUGAGAAGCCAAGAGCGAAGGCAGCAGGCUGGUAUUUCCUGCACAGCUCUGCAGUUAGCAUCCCUGGGUCUGCUGCUUUCCUGGAAGAGUGCAAAAAAGCCUUGGCACAGAUGCUGUUCCAGCCUAGCUGGCAUGACGUUGUG